AAUCAACGCUGGCGGCGUGCCUCAGACAUGCAAGUCGAACGAUUAAAGCUCUCUUCGGAGAGUGUAUAGAGUGGCGCACGGGUGAGUAACACGUAAGUAAUCUACCUUUGAGUGGGGAAUAACAGUCGGAAACGACUGCUAAUACCGCAUAAUGCAGCGGCAUCGCAAGAUGACAGUUGUUAAAGGAGCAAUCCGCUUAAAGAGGAGCUUGCGGCAGAUUAGCUUGUUGGUAAGGUAACGGCUUACCAAGGCUACGAUCUGUAUCCGGUCUAAGAGGACGGUCGGACACACUGACACUGAAUAACGGGUCAGACUCCUACGGGAGGCAGCAGUCGGGAAUUUUGGGCAAUGGGCGAAAGCCUGACCCAGCAACGCCGCGUGAAGGAUGAAGUAUUUCGGUAUGUAAACUUCGAAGGAAUGGGAAGAAUCAAUGACGGUACCAUUUAUAAG
This 450-nucleotide ribosomal RNA is filed under the name uncultured bacterium. Its description in RNAcentral is "bacterial SSU rRNA". It matches the Rfam family "Bacterial small subunit ribosomal RNA", at positions 32 to 490 of the family's 1533-position model. The record is from RNAcentral.